GACGAACGCUGGCGGCGUGCCUAACACAUGCAAGUCGAGCGAGUGAAUCUCCUUCGGGAGUGAAGCUAGCGGCGGACGGGUGAGUAACAAGUGGGCAACCUGCCUCAUAAAGGGGAAUAGCCUUUCGAAAGGAAGAUUAAUACCGCAUAAGAAUGUAGCUUCGCAUGAAGUAGGAAUUAAAGGAGCAAUCCGCUAUGAGAUGGGCCCGCGGCGCAUUAGCUAGUUGGUGAGGUAACGGCUCACCAAGGCGACGAUGCGUGGCCGACCUGAGAGGGUGAUCGGCCACAUUGGGACUGAGACACGGCCCAGACUCCUACGGGAGGCAGCAGUGGGGAAUAUUGCACAAUGGGGGAAACCCUGAUGCAGCAACGCCGCGUGAGUGAUGACGGCCUUCGGGUUGUAAAGCUCUGUCUUCAGGGACGAUAAUGACGGUACCUGAGGAGGAAGCCACGGCUAACUACGUGCCAGCAGCCGCCGUAA
This 480-nucleotide ribosomal RNA is filed under the name uncultured bacterium. RNAcentral describes it as "partial 16S ribosomal RNA". It matches the Rfam family "Bacterial small subunit ribosomal RNA", at positions 28 to 523 of the family's 1533-position model. The record is from RNAcentral.